GAUGAAGAACGCAGCGAAAUGCGAUAAGUAGUGUGAAUUGCAGAAUUCCGUGAAUCAUCGAGUCUUUGAACGCACAUUGCGCCCCCUGGUAUUCCGGGGGGCAUGCCUGUCCGAGCGUCAUUGCAACCCUCAAGCACGGCUUGUCUAAUGGGCGGUUCGUCUGCGGCCAUCCGCCGGAGACGCCCCCGAAAUGCAGUGGGGAUGUUCGCUAAAUCGCAGCGUCAGGAAUGGAAAUAAACAAUGCUGACGGCUCGAUGUCGAACGUCCACCUAAGGCGUGCCGCCCCCCCGGGGUGUGCCGCCCAACCUCUCUCGGUUGACCUCGGAUCAGGUAGGGAUACCCGCUGAACUUAAGCAUAUCAUAAGCGGAGGA
RNAcentral lists this unclassified non-coding RNA (372 nucleotides) under soil metagenome. Its description in RNAcentral is "partial contains 5.8S ribosomal RNA, internal transcribed spacer 2, and large subunit ribosomal RNA". The stretch from base 1 to 120 matches the Rfam family "5.8S ribosomal RNA", at positions 35 to 154 of the family's 154-position model. The record is from RNAcentral.